RNAcentral lists this ribosomal RNA (404 nucleotides) under uncultured bacterium. RNAcentral describes it as "bacterial SSU rRNA". It matches the Rfam family "Bacterial small subunit ribosomal RNA", at positions 355 to 775 of the family's 1533-position model. The record is from RNAcentral.
UAAGGAAUCUUCCGCAAUGGGCGCAAGCCUGACGGAGCGACGCCGCGUGCAUGAUGACGCUCUUCGGAGUGUAAAAUGCUUUUCUGCGAGACGAUGCAAGACGGUAUCGCAGGAAGAAGCCUCGGCUAACUACGUGCCAGCAGCCGCGGUAAUACGUAGGAGGCGAGCGUUGUCCGGAAUCACUGGGUGUAAAGCGCGUGUAGGCGGCCUGUCAAGUCUGCUGUGAAAGCGCCUGGCUUAACCGGGCGAGGUCGGUGGAAACUGGCGGGCUGGAGGCCGGUAGAGGGGGGUGGAAUUCCCGGUGUAGUGGUGAAAUGCGUAGAGAUCGGGAGGAACACCAGUGGCGAAGGCGGCCCCCUGGGCCGCGCCUGACGCUGAGACGCGAAAGCGCGGGGAGCGAAUGG